UACGGAAGGUCCGGGCGUUAUCCGGAUUUAUUGGGUUUAAAGGGAGCGUAGGCCGGAGAUUAAGCGUGUUGUGAAAUGUAGACGCUCAACGUCUGCACUGCAGCGCGAACUGGUCUCCUUGAGUACGCACAAAGUGGGCGGAAUUCGUGGUGUAGCGGUGAAAUGCUUAGAUAUCACGAAGAACUCCGAUUGCGAAGGCAGCUCACUGGAGCGCAACUGACGCUGAAGCUCGAAAGUGCGGGUAUCGAACAGG
Molecule: ribosomal RNA, 253 nt
Filed under: Segatella copri DSM 18205
Lineage: Bacteria; Pseudomonadati; Bacteroidota; Bacteroidia; Bacteroidales; Prevotellaceae
Description: Prevotella copri DSM 18205 partial 16S ribosomal RNA
Rfam family: Bacterial small subunit ribosomal RNA
Source: RNAcentral